UACGUAGGCAGCAAGCGUUGUUCGGAGUUACUGGGCGUAAAGGGCGCGUAGGCGGUCGUGACAAGUCACUUGUGAAAUCUCCGGGCUUAACUCGGAACGGUCAAGUGAUACUGUCGGACUAGAGUACAGAAGGGGCAACUGGAAUUCUCGGUGUAGCGGUGAAAUGCGUAGAUAUCGAGAGGAACACCCGUGGCGAAGGCGGCCCCCUGGGCCGUACCUGACGCUGAGGCGCGAAGGCUAGGGGAGCGAACGGG
Molecule: ribosomal RNA, 254 nt
Filed under: uncultured bacterium
Lineage: Bacteria
Description: partial 16S ribosomal RNA
Rfam family: Bacterial small subunit ribosomal RNA
Source: RNAcentral